GUGGGGAAUAUUGGACAAUGGGCGAAAGCCUGAUCCAGCAAUGCCGCGUGAGUGAAGAAGGCCUUAGGGUUGUAAAGCUCUUUUACCCGGGAUGAUAAUGACAGUACCGGGAGAAUAAGCUCCGGCUAACUCCGUGCCAGCAGCCGCGGUAAUACGGAGGGAGCUAGCGUUGUUCGGAAUCACUGGGCGUAAAGCGCACGUAGGCGGCUUUGUAAGUUAGAGGUGAAAGCCCGGGGCUCAACUCCGGAACUGCCUUUAAGACUGCAUCGCUUGAAUCUGGGAGAGGUGAGUGGAAUUCCGAGUGUAGAGGUGAAAUUCGUAGAUAUUCGGAAGAACACCAGUGGCGAAGGCGGCUCACUGGACCAGAAUUGACGCUGAGGUGCGAAAGCGUGGGGAGCAAACAGGAUUAGAAACCCGGGUAGUCC
Molecule: ribosomal RNA, 425 nt
Filed under: uncultured bacterium
Lineage: Bacteria
Description: partial 16S ribosomal RNA
Rfam family: Bacterial small subunit ribosomal RNA
Source: RNAcentral